GUGGGGAAUUUUGGACAAUGGGCGCAAGCCUGAUCCAGCAAUGCCGCGUGCAGGAAGAAGGCCUUCGGGUUGUAAACUGCUUUUGUAUGGAACGAAACGGUCCGGGUUAAUACCCUGGGCUAAUGACGGUACCGUAAGAAUAAGCACCGGCUAACUACGUGCCAGCAGCCGCGGUAAUACGUAGGGUGCAAGCGUUAAUCGGAAUUACUGGGCGUAAAGCGUGCGCAGGCGGUUUUGUAAGACAGGCGUGAAAUCCCCGGGCUCAACCUGGGAAUUGCGCUUGUGACUGCAAGGCUGGAGUGCGGCAGAGGGGGAUGGAAUUCCGCGUGUAGCAGUGAAAUGCGUAGAUAUGCGGAGGAACACCGAUGGCGAAGGCAAUCCCCUGGGCCUGCACUGACGCUCAUGCACGAAAGCGUGGGGAGCAAACAGGAUUAGAAACCCGUGUAGUCC
RNAcentral lists this ribosomal RNA (450 nucleotides) under uncultured bacterium. RNAcentral describes it as "bacterial SSU rRNA". It matches the Rfam family "Bacterial small subunit ribosomal RNA", at positions 354 to 796 of the family's 1533-position model. The record is from RNAcentral.